This 253-nucleotide ribosomal RNA is filed under the name uncultured bacterium. Its description in RNAcentral is "partial 16S ribosomal RNA". It matches the Rfam family "Bacterial small subunit ribosomal RNA", at positions 524 to 776 of the family's 1533-position model. The record is from RNAcentral.
UACAGAGGGUGCAAGCGUUAAUCGGAAUUACUGGGCGUAAAGCGCGCGUAGGUGGUUCAGUAAGAUGGAAGUGAAAUCCCCGGGCUCAACCUGGGAACUGCUUUCAUAACUGCUGGGCUAGAGUACGGUAGAGGGUAGUGGAAUUUCCUGUGUAGCGGUGAAAUGCGUAGAUAUAGGAAGGAACACCAGUGGCGAAGGCGACUACCUGGACUGGUACUGACACUGAGGUGCGAAAGCGUGGGGAGCAAACAGG